This 253-nucleotide ribosomal RNA is filed under the name uncultured bacterium. RNAcentral's name for it is "partial 16S ribosomal RNA". It matches the Rfam family "Bacterial small subunit ribosomal RNA", at positions 524 to 776 of the family's 1533-position model. The record is from RNAcentral.
UACGUAGGGGGCAAGCGUUGUCCGGAUUUAUUGGGCGUAAAGAGCGUGUAGGCGGCUUUACAGGUCCGUUGUGAAAACUCGAGGCUCAACCCCGAGACGCCGGUGGAAACCGUAAAGCUAGAGUCCGGAAGAGGAGAGUGGAAUUCCCGGUGUAGCGGUGAAAUGCGCAGAUAUCGGGAAGAACACCUAUGGCGAAGGCAGCUCUCUGGGACGGUACUGACGCUGAGACGCGAAAGCGUGGGGAGCAAACAGG